UGUACACGCUGUGACUAGCAUAUCAAUAAGCGGAGGAAAAGAAACUAACAAGGAUUCCCCUAGUAACGGCGAGUGAAGCGGGAAGAGCUCAAAUUUGAAAUCUUGAAGGGUUUCCCUUUACGAAUUGUAGUUUAAAGAAGUGUUUUCUGUUGAGGUUUUGGUAAAAGUUCUUUGGAAUAGGACAGUCAUAGAGGGUGAGAAUCCCGUAUUUGACCUUUACUUUCAACUUUGUGAUACACUUUCAAAGAGUCGGAUUGUUUGGGAAUGCAGUCCAAAAUGGGUGGUAAAUUUCAUCUAAAGCUAAAUAUUGGCGAGAGACCGAUAGCGAACAAGUACCGCUGAGGGAAAGAUGAAAAGAACUUUGAAAAGAGAGUUAAACAGUACGUGAAAUUGUCAAAAGGGAAGCGUUUGACACCAGUGUUGUUUUUCUGAAAAUCAAUUAAAGAACUGUUUAUGCUAAGCUGUUUAGACUUUAUCAGCUAAUCUGUUUAGUUUUGAGCUUUUCUUUAAUGCACUUUUCAGUUAACAAGUCAACAUCAAUUUCUUUUGCUGUAAAAAAGCUUGAGGAAGGUGGCUUGAGAUUCGUCUUAAGUGUUUAUAGCCUCUUGCCUAUGCAGUCGGAGAGAUUGAGGUCUGCAGCGUAGAUCCUUCGGGGCUAAAUGCAUUUGUGCUAAGUUAUAGCAUUUUAUAGACAACUUGUUGACUAUGAUUUGUCUUGUAGCUUACUCGCUUAUGUUAUUUUACCUACGCUUAGGAUGUUGAUAUGCAUGACUGAUAU
This 778-nucleotide ribosomal RNA is filed under the name uncultured Neocallimastigales. Its description in RNAcentral is "partial large subunit ribosomal RNA". It matches the Rfam family "Eukaryotic large subunit ribosomal RNA", at positions 22 to 640 of the family's 3401-position model. Lineage: Eukaryota; Fungi; Neocallimastigomycota; Neocallimastigomycetes; Neocallimastigales. The record is from RNAcentral.